Molecule: ribosomal RNA, 465 nt
Filed under: uncultured Rhodocyclaceae bacterium
Lineage: Bacteria; Pseudomonadati; Pseudomonadota; Betaproteobacteria; Rhodocyclales; Rhodocyclaceae
Description: bacterial SSU rRNA
Rfam family: Bacterial small subunit ribosomal RNA
Source: RNAcentral
CCUACGGGGGGCAGCAGUGGGGAAUUUUGGACAAUGGGGGCAACCCUGAUCCAGCCAUUCCGCGUGAGUGAAGAAGGCCUUCGGGUUGUAAAGCUCUUUCGGCAGGAACGAAAAGGCUCUCUCUAACAUAGGGGGUCAAUGACGGUACCUGAAGAAGAAGCACCGGCUAACUACGUGCCAGCAGCCGCGGUAAUACGUAGGGUGCGAGCGUUAAUCGGAAUUACUGGGCGUAAAGCGUGCGCAGGCGGCUUUGUAAGACAGAUGUGAAAUCCCCGGGCUUAACCUGGGAACUGCGUUUGUGACUGCAAGGCUUGAGUGCGGCAGAGGGGGGUGGAAUUCCACGUGUAGCAGUGAAAUGCGUAGAGAUGUGGAGGAACACCGAUGGCGAAGGCAGCCCCCUGGGUCGACACUGACGCUCAUGCACGAAAGCGUGGGUAGCAAACAGGAUUAGAUACCCCAGUAGUC